UAACUGCGCGUCGAAAUGUGAACUGCAGGACACUUGAACAUCGACACUUUGAACGCAUAUUGCGGACCGUGGCUUGUCCACUGUCCAUGUCUGGCUCAGGGUCGGUUGAACAUCC
This 115-nucleotide ribosomal RNA is filed under the name Misophriidae sp. HT-2017. Its description in RNAcentral is "partial 5.8S RNA". It matches the Rfam family "5.8S ribosomal RNA", at positions 50 to 154 of the family's 154-position model. Rfam says of the family: 5.8S ribosomal RNA (5.8S rRNA) is a component of the large subunit of the eukaryotic ribosome. It is transcribed by RNA polymerase I as part of the 45S precursor that also contains 18S and 28S rRNA. The record is from RNAcentral. Lineage: Eukaryota; Metazoa; Arthropoda; Copepoda; Misophrioida; Misophriidae.